RNAcentral lists this ribosomal RNA (492 nucleotides) under uncultured bacterium. RNAcentral's name for it is "partial 16S ribosomal RNA". It matches the Rfam family "Bacterial small subunit ribosomal RNA", at positions 29 to 507 of the family's 1533-position model. The record is from RNAcentral.
AGUGAACGCUGGCGGUAGGCCUAACACAUGCAAGUCGAACGGCAGCACAGUAAGAGCUUGCUCUUACGGGUGGCGAGUGGCGGACGGGUGAGGAAUACAUCGGAAUCUACUUUUUCGUGGGGGAUAACGUAGGGAAACUUACGCUAAUACCGCAUACGACCUACGGGUGAAAGCAGGGGAUCUUCGGACCUUGCGCGAUUGAAUGAGCCGAUGUCGGAUUGGCUAGUUGGCGGGGUAAUGGCCCACCAAGGCGACGAUCCGUAGCUGGUCUGAGAGGAGGAUCGGCCACACUGGAACUGAGACACGGUCCAGACUCCUACGGGAGGCAGCAGUGGGGAAUAUUGGACAAUGGGCGCAAGCCUGGUCCAGCCAUCCCGCGUGGGUGAAGAAGGCCUUCGGGUUGUAAAGCCCUUUUGUUGGGAAAGAAAAGCAGCAGGUUAAUACCCCGCUGUUCUGACGGUACCCAAAGAAUAAGCACCGGCUAACUUCGUG